AGUGAACGCUGGCGGUAGGCCUAACACAUACAAGUCGAACGGCAGCACAGUAGGAGCUUGCUCUUACGGGUGGCGAGUGGCGGACGGGUGAGGAAUACAUCGGAAUCUACUUUUUCGUGGGGGAUAACGUAGGGAAACUUACGCUAAUACCGCAUACGACCUACGGGUGAAAGCAGGGGAUCUUCGGACCUUGCGCGAUUGAAUGAGCCGAUGUCGGAUUAGCUAGUUGGCGGGGUAAAGGCCCACCAAGGCGACGAUCCGUAGCUGGUCUGAGAGGAUGAUCAGCCACACUGGAACUGAGACACGGUCCAGACUCCUACGGGAGGCAGCAGUGGGGAAUAUUGGACAAUGGGCGCAAGCCUGAUCCAGCCAUACCGCGUGGGUGAAGAAGGCCUUCGGGUUGUAAAGCCCUUUUGUUGGGAAAGAAAAGCAGCAGGUUAAUACCCCGCUGUUCUGACGGUACCCAAAGAAUAAGCACCGGCUAACUUCGUG
RNAcentral lists this ribosomal RNA (492 nucleotides) under uncultured bacterium. RNAcentral describes it as "partial 16S ribosomal RNA". It matches the Rfam family "Bacterial small subunit ribosomal RNA", at positions 29 to 507 of the family's 1533-position model. The record is from RNAcentral.